CGGAGGGGGCCAGCGUUGUUCGGAAUCAUUGGGCGUAAAGGGCGCGUAGGCGGCCAAUCAAGUCCGACGUGAAAUUCCUCGGCUCAACCGAGGGCCUGCGUCGGAUACUGCUUGGCUUGAGUCCCGGAGAGGGUAGUGGAAUUCCCAGUGUAGCGGUGAAAUGCGUAGAUACUGGGAGGAACACCGGUGGCGAAGGCGGCUACCUGGACGGGUACUGACGCUGAGGCGCGAAAGCUAGGGGAGCAAACAGGAUUAGAUACCCUGGUAGUCCUAGCUGUAAACGAUGGGCACUUGGUGUUGCGGGUAUCGACCCCUGCAGUGCCGAAGCUAACGCAUUAAGUGCCCCGCCUGGGGAGUACGGUCGCAAGGCUG
RNAcentral lists this ribosomal RNA (372 nucleotides) under uncultured organism. RNAcentral describes it as "bacterial SSU rRNA". It matches the Rfam family "Bacterial small subunit ribosomal RNA", at positions 526 to 896 of the family's 1533-position model. The record is from RNAcentral.